This 463-nucleotide ribosomal RNA is filed under the name uncultured bacterium. RNAcentral's name for it is "bacterial SSU rRNA". It matches the Rfam family "Bacterial small subunit ribosomal RNA", at positions 28 to 480 of the family's 1533-position model. The record is from RNAcentral.
GACGAACGCUGGCGGCGUGCCUAACACAUGCAAGUCGAACGGGGUGAGAUCCUUCGGGAUUUCACUUAGUGGCGAACGGGUGAGUAACGCGUGAGGAACCUGCCUUUCAGUGGGGGGCAACAGUUGGAAACGACUGCUAAUACCGCAUAAUACAGUCGAGCGGCAUCGCUUGACUGUCAAAGCUUUAUGUGCUGCAUGACACAGUGUGGAAAACUCCGGUGGUACAAGAUGGAUUCGCGUCUGAUUAGAUAGUUGGUGAGGUAACGGCUCACCAAGUCGACGAUCAGUAGCCGGUCUGAGAGGAUGAACGGCCACAUUGGGACUGAGAUACGGCCCAGACUCCUACGGGAGCAGCAGUGGGGAAUAUUGGGCAAUGGGGGAAACCCUGACCCAGCAACGCCGCGUGAAGGAGAAGGCUCGGUGUAAACUUCUUUUACCAGGGACGAAGAACGUGACGGUACCU